This 84-nucleotide transfer RNA is filed under the name bacterium. Its description in RNAcentral is "tRNA-Tyr". It matches the Rfam family "tRNA". From Rfam's summary of the family: Transfer RNA (tRNA) molecules are approximately 80 nucleotides in length. RNAcentral also lists the same sequence under 1 other name. The record is from RNAcentral.
GGGGGUGUGGUGGAGUAGUCAAUCACAGCAGACUGUAAAUCUGCCGGCCAUAGGCCUACGUAGGUGCAAAUCCUACCGCCCCCA